UGGUUCUCGCAUCGAUGAAGAACGCAGCGAAAUGCGAUAAGUAAUGUGAAUUGCAGAAUUCAGUGAAUCAUCGAAUCUUUGAACGCACCUUGCGCCCUUUGGUAUUCCGAAGGGCACGCCUGUUUGAGUGUCGUGAAAUUCUCAACCCUCCCCCCUUUUGUUAGGUGGGGGACGGGCUUGGACUUGGAGGUUCUUGCCGGCCUAGGUCGGCUCCUCUCAAAUGCAUCAGUGCGUUCCGUUGUGACGUUACCUUUGGUGUGAUAGAUAUCUACGCCGCUGGUGGCUUCGCUGUCAAGGAUUGCGCUUACAACCGUCUUCGGACAGCUUCAUCGAAACUUGACCUCAAAUCAGGCGGGACUACCCGCUGA
RNAcentral lists this unclassified non-coding RNA (368 nucleotides) under uncultured fungus. RNAcentral's name for it is "partial contains 5.8S ribosomal RNA and internal transcribed spacer 2". The stretch from base 1 to 133 matches the Rfam family "5.8S ribosomal RNA", at positions 22 to 154 of the family's 154-position model. The record is from RNAcentral. Lineage: Eukaryota; Fungi.